RNAcentral lists this ribosomal RNA (492 nucleotides) under uncultured bacterium. RNAcentral describes it as "partial 16S ribosomal RNA". It matches the Rfam family "Bacterial small subunit ribosomal RNA", at positions 29 to 507 of the family's 1533-position model. The record is from RNAcentral.
AGUGAACGCUGGCGGUAGGCCUAACACAUGCAAGUCGAACGACAGCACAGUAAGAACUUGCUCUUACGUGUGGCGCGUGGCGGAAGGGUGAGUAAUACAUCGAAUUAUACUUUUUAGUGGGGGAUAACGUAGGGAAACUUACGCUAAUACAGCAUACGACCUACGUGUGAAAGCAGGCGUUCUUCUAACCUUGUGCGAUUGAAUGAGCCUAUGUCGGAUUCGCUCGUUGGCGGGGUAAAGGCCCACCAAGGCUACGAUCCGUAGCUGGUAUGAGAGGAUGAGCAGCCAAACUGGAAUUGAGACACGGUCCACAAUCCUACGGGAGGGAGCAGUGGGGAAUAUUGGAGAAUGGGCGCAAGCCUGAUCCAUCCAUACUGCGUGGGUGAAGAAGGCCUUCAUGUUGUAAAGCUCAUUUAUUGGGAAAGAAUAGCAGCAUGUUAAUACCGCGCUGUUCUGGAGGUACCCAAAGGAUAAGCACCGGCUAACUUCGUG